GUGGGGAAUAUUGGACAAUGGGGGGAACCCUGAUCCAGCCAUGCCGCGUGUGUGAAGAAGGCCUUUUGGUUGUAAAGCACUUUAAGCGAGGAGGAGGCUACUCUAGUUAAUACCUAGGGAUAGUGGACGUUACUCGCAGAAUAAGCACCGGCUAACUCUGUGCCAGCAGCCGCGGUAAUACAGAGGGUGCGAGCGUUAAUCGGAUUUACUGGGCGUAAAGCGUGCGUAGGCGGCUUUUUAAGUCGGAUGUGAAAUCCCUGAGCUUAACUUAGGAAGUACAUUCGAUACUGGGAAGCUAGAGUAUGGGAGAGGAUGGUAGAAUUCCAGGUGUAGCGGUGAAAUGCGUAGAGAUCUGGAGGAAUACCGAUGGCGAAGGCAGCCAUCUGGCCUAAUACUGACGCUGAGGUACGAAAGCGUGGGGAGCAAACAGGAUUAGAUACCCCGGUAGUCC
RNAcentral lists this ribosomal RNA (451 nucleotides) under uncultured bacterium. RNAcentral describes it as "partial 16S ribosomal RNA". It matches the Rfam family "Bacterial small subunit ribosomal RNA", at positions 354 to 796 of the family's 1533-position model. The record is from RNAcentral.